AGAAAAAUAAGCUAAAUUAAGCUUUUGAAUUCAUAAUUCAAAUAUAGAAAAUCUUUUUUCUA
RNAcentral lists this transfer RNA (62 nucleotides) under Matsucoccus matsumurae. RNAcentral's name for it is "tRNA-Met". The record is from RNAcentral. Lineage: Eukaryota; Metazoa; Arthropoda; Insecta; Hemiptera; Margarodidae.